AUGCCUCUGAGGUAGCAAUUACUGCUCCAGGAACUAGUAACCAUAGAAACAGCUCCACAGGGCCAACACCUGACUGCUCACCUCCGUCCCCCGACACUGCCCUAAAGAAUAUUGUAAAAGUUAUUCGGCCCCAGCCUAAGCAACGAACAUCCAUUGUGUCUUCUCUGGAUUUUCAUCGAAUGAAUCACAAUCAAGAAUAUUUUGAAAUCAGCACAUCUACAGUGUGUGCUAGCUCUACUUCCAGUCCUCCUGUUAGCCCACCCACCUCAUCUGUAGGAACCAUGGAGGUCAAGAACGAGGGAACUGACCACACAGAUGACACCUCUCAACAGGAAGAUAAUGAUCCACCAAAAGAGUAUGAUCCUGGGCAAUUCGCAGGCCUUCU
RNAcentral lists this long non-coding RNA (385 nucleotides) under Cavia porcellus (domestic guinea pig). Its description in RNAcentral is "lncRNA (ENSCPOG00000030780.1)". The record is from RNAcentral. Lineage: Eukaryota; Metazoa; Chordata; Mammalia; Rodentia; Caviidae.